RNAcentral lists this ribosomal RNA (504 nucleotides) under uncultured bacterium. RNAcentral's name for it is "partial 16S ribosomal RNA". It matches the Rfam family "Bacterial small subunit ribosomal RNA", at positions 30 to 523 of the family's 1533-position model. The record is from RNAcentral.
AUUGAACGCUGGCGGCAGGCCUAACACAUGCAAGUCGAACGGUAGCACAGAGAGCUUGCUCUCGGGUGGCGAGUGGCGGACGGGUGAGUAACGUCUGGGAAACUGCCCGAUGGAGGGGGAUAACUACUGGAAACGGUAGCUAAUACCGCAUAACGUCGCAAGACCAAAGUGGGGGACCUUCUGGCCUCACACCAUCGGAUGUGCCCAGAUGGGAUUAGCUAGUAGGUGGGGUAAUGGCUCACCUAGGCGACGAUCCCUAGCUGGUCUGAGAGGAUGACCAGCCACACUGGAACUGAGACACGGUCCAGACUCCUACGGGAGGCAGCAGUGGGGAAUAUUGCACAAUGGGCGCAAGCCUGAUGCAGCCAUGCCGCGUGUAUGAAGAAGGCCUUCGGGUUGUAAAGUACUUUCAGCGGGGAGGAAGGCGGUGAAGUUAAUAACUUCACCGAUUGACGUUACCCGCAGAAGAAGCACCGGCUAACUCCGUGCCAGCCGCCGCAGUAA